AGUCUGGUGCCAGCAGCCGCGGUAAUUCCAGCUCCAAUAGCAUACUUUAAAGUUGCUGCAGUUAAAAAGCUCGUAGUUGAAUUUCUGACUUAACAUGCUUAGCCCUUCCGGGUCACCGGUGGAGUGCUGAGUCGUGUUUGUCAUCCUUCCAGAAAAUGUUGUUGCGCUUCACUGCGUUGACAACACUAUCUGGAUCUUUUACUUUGAAAAAAUUAGAGUGUUUAAAGCAGGCUUUUGCUAUGAAUACAUUAGCAUGGAAUAAUAAUUUAGGACUUCGGUUCUAUUUUGUUGGUUUCUAGGACUGAAGUAAUGAUUGAUAGGGACAGUUGGGGAUGCUGAAAUUCAUUGGCCAGAGGUGAAAUUCUUGGAUUCAAUGAAGUUCAACUCAUGCGAAAGCAUUCAUCAAGGAUGUCUUCUUCUAAUCAAGAACGAAAGUUGGGGGAUCGAAGACGAUCAGAUACCGUCGUAGUCUCAACUAUAAACUAUGCCGACUCGGGAUUGGUGAACGUUGCAUUUUCGACUUCAUCAGCACCGUAUGAGAAAUCAAAGUCUUUGGGUUCCGGGGGGAGUAUGAUCGCAAGGUUGAAACUUAAAGGAAUUGACGGAAGGGCACCACCAGGAGUGGAGCCUGCGGCUUAAUUUGACCCAACACGGGAAAACUUACCAGGUCCAGACAUAGUGAGGAUUGACAGAUUGAAGAUCUUUCUUGAUUCUAUGGGUGGUGGUGCGUGGCCGUUCUUAGUUGGUGGAGCGAUUUGUCUGGUUAAUUCCGUUAACGAACGAGACCUCGACCUGCUAAAUAGUUCGGCGAAGGCGUCAGCCUUUGUACGUGACUUCCUAGAGGGACUAUCGGUGCUUUAGCCGAAGGAAGUUCGAGGCAAUAACAGGUCUGUGAUGCCCUUAGAUGUUCUGGGCUGCACGCGCGCUACACUGAUGGUUGCAUCGAGCUUACAACCUUGAUCGGAAGGUCUGGGUAAUCUUUUUAACGACCAUCGUGCUGGGGAUAGAUUAUUGUAAUUAUUAAUCUUCAACGAGGAAUUCCCAGUAAACGCAAGUCAUCAACUUGCAUUGAUUACGUCCCUGCCCUUUGUACACACCGCCCGUCGCUACUACCGAUUGAAUGGAUUAAUGAGCUGCAGGGAUUGACGCGCUUGUGGGCAACUGCUUGCGUGUCGAGAACUGCAACAAAUUUGUUCAUUUAGAGGAAGUAAAAGUCGUAACAAGGUUUCCGUUGGUGAACCAGCGGAAG
This 1249-nucleotide ribosomal RNA is filed under the name metagenome. Its description in RNAcentral is "SSU rRNA". It matches the Rfam family "Eukaryotic small subunit ribosomal RNA", at positions 558 to 1823 of the family's 1831-position model. The record is from RNAcentral.